RNAcentral lists this ribosomal RNA (248 nucleotides) under uncultured bacterium. Its description in RNAcentral is "partial 16S ribosomal RNA". It matches the Rfam family "Bacterial small subunit ribosomal RNA", at positions 15 to 257 of the family's 1533-position model. The record is from RNAcentral.
GAUCCUGGCUCGGAUUGAACGCUGGCGGCAGGCCUAACACAUGCAAGUCGAACGGUAACAGGAAACAGCUUGCUGUUUCGCUGACGAGUGGCGGACGGGUGAGUAAUGUCUGGGAAACUGCCUGAUGGAGGGGGAUAACUACUGGAAACGGUAGCUAAUACCGCAUAAUGUCGCAAGACCAAAGAGGGGGGACCUUCGGGCCUCUUGCCAUCGGAUGUGCCCAGAUGGGAGUUAGCUAGUAGGUGGGG